RNAcentral lists this ribosomal RNA (164 nucleotides) under Palaua camanensis. RNAcentral describes it as "5.8S ribosomal RNA". It matches the Rfam family "5.8S ribosomal RNA". From Rfam's summary of the family: 5.8S ribosomal RNA (5.8S rRNA) is a component of the large subunit of the eukaryotic ribosome. The record is from RNAcentral. Lineage: Eukaryota; Viridiplantae; Streptophyta; Magnoliopsida; Malvales; Malvaceae.
AAAACGACUCUCGGCAACGGAUAUCUCGGCUCUCGCAUCGAUGAAGAACGUAGCGAAAUGUGAUACUUGGUGUGAAUUGCAGAAUCCCGUGAACCAUCGAGUCUUUGAACGCAAGUUGCGCCCCAAGCCAUUAGGCCGAGGGCACGUCUGCCUGGGUGUCACGC